CAUGUAGGCGGAUUAAUAAGUUUGAAGUGAAAUCCUAUAGCUUAACUAUAGAACUGCUUUGAAAACUGUUAAUCUAGAAUGUGGGAGAGGUAGAUGGAAUUUCUGGUGUAGGGGUAAAAUCCGUAGAGAUCAGAAGGAAUACCGAUUGCGAAGGCGAUCUACUGGAACAUUAUUGACGCUGAGAUGCGGAAGCGUGGGGAGCAAACA
Molecule: ribosomal RNA, 207 nt
Filed under: uncultured bacterium
Lineage: Bacteria
Description: partial 16S ribosomal RNA
Rfam family: Bacterial small subunit ribosomal RNA
Source: RNAcentral